RNAcentral lists this long non-coding RNA (701 nucleotides) under Ananas comosus (pineapple). RNAcentral describes it as "long non-coding RNA (ACOM_LNC044172)". The record is from RNAcentral. Lineage: Eukaryota; Viridiplantae; Streptophyta; Magnoliopsida; Poales; Bromeliaceae.
CACUACAAUAAAAACGGUCUAUAGCGACACUUUUAAAUGUAGGUACAUGUCAAAAAAGUGCUGCUAGCUAAAAUUACCGACACUUUUAAAAACGGUUGCUAUAUGUGGGGUCGCUAGGUAUAUAGUGACAGUUAAAGAGUGUCGUUAUAACCUAAAAGAGUGCUGCUAAUUUACCAACACUUAUUUAAGCAUUUAGCAACCGCCGAAACUCUAUCUCGUUGGCUGUGGUAGCCGAGGAGGACGACAGAAAAGACUCUUCGUCUAGAAUUUUAAUGGAUUAAGUGAAAAGAGAAGAAAAGAUGGUAAUUAAUUUUUCUUUUUUUUUUCUUUUCUGUUUGUAAUCGGGCCAAAUGGACUGGGUGUGGUGGGUUGAGUAGAGUAAUCUUUUAUUUUUGGUUGGAUUGGGUUUUAUAUUUAGACAUUAGUAGAUGUUUUUUAAAAUUUUAGCAUAAAUGGGACACUUACUCAAAAGUGUCCCAAACAUGUGUCCCUAUAACCUAAUUGUAUUGUAGUGACUGAUGUCGGGCAUGAAUAAAGUGACAAUAUAUAUCGCUAAUGUGCGAUGUCAUAUGCUGAAUGGAUGUACGUAGUAUGUCAAAAGUGGGAUAAAUAAUGUAAGUUUAACAAAUGUCAGCAUAAAUUAUGACUGUUAUUCUGAAGUGAUGUGCGAUGUACUGAGAAAAGAUAUAUGGUAUGUAGUG